Molecule: long non-coding RNA, 1014 nt
Filed under: Homo sapiens (human)
Lineage: Eukaryota; Metazoa; Chordata; Mammalia; Primates; Hominidae
Description: HSALNT0329284
Source: RNAcentral
CUCACAUAUAUUGCCAGCCCUCUCCCUGCCCAGAACUCUUGUGACUGGCCCUAAGGCAGAUCAGGUGUUUAUUCCAUAUCCUUGAUGACAAAGAAACUGUGAUCGUGUUCUGGGGAAUGUCCCUUUUCCCAUUCAAGUGUAUGAUCAUAUUUUCAAGCAAUCACGUUUACAUUCAGCCUGGAAACUUUCUGCCCAGUUCUUAAGUUCUACUGCCAGCAGCUUGGAUACUACAGAAUGCUGAUUUAGCUCAUAGGAUGCAUUGAACCACUUUGCCAUGGUAACCAGCAGACAGACCUGAGAGAAGCAAGGCUGCAGAGAAACUGUAGCCAUCACCAAACAACAAAUCAAAGGGAAGUGUCUCAGGAGAGAUUUCUAAUUAUCAUACAUUUGUCCUUGCAGCCAAACCAGGAUGCAGUGGAAAUGGUGCCUUUGGCACUAGCAUCUUAGGUCACAAAAUCAGUUGUCUUGAAAUUCUUACUAACUUUUGAACGUGGAACCCUACAUCUUCGUUUUGUACUGGUCCCCACAUAUUUUAUAGCUGAUCUGAAGGAGGAGAGAGAGAUGAUGGGGGAUGAAGGGUAUGGAAUUGUAUGCUAUGGCUGCCUGCUGUCGAAGUUCUCCAGGUCCAGAGAGGAUUUAAGUUGCUGGAAUAAUCCACCCAGUCUUCGAGAUGUGAUUAUAUAAUUGAUGGUAUGUGGAUAUCACUGAUCACAAAACACAAUAAAGGACCUAAGGCAACAUCUUUGUUCUUUCUCAAUGUGGGGAAAAUGUUUUUGUUCUACUUGGAUCGGUGGCUCACGCCUAUAAUCCCAGCACUUUGGGAGGCUGAGGCGGGCGUAUCACUUGAGGUCAGGAGUUCAAGACCAGCCUGGCCAACAUGAUGAAACUCCGUCUCUACUAAAAAUACAAACAUUAGUCGCGUGUGGUGGUGGGCACCUGUAAUCCCAGCCACUGGGGAGGCUGAGGCAGGAGAAUCACUUGAACCCGGGAGUUGGAGGUUGCAGCGAGCCGAGA